AGAGUUAAAUAGUACGUGAAAUUGUUAUAAGGGAAACGAUUGAAAUCAGUGGUGCUGCUAUGAAAUCAGCUUGCUGGUGCUCAAAGUCUGUAGUGGAAGAGCUUUACGGCCUUUGCUGCGAAUAGAGAGUAUUGGUGGGUGCACUUUUGUAGUAAGCUGGUCAACGUCAGUUUCGGUUGGUGGAAAAGACUUGCAUGAAGGUAGCUUGCCUUUCGGGGUGAGUGUUAUAGCUUGCUUGGGAUACACUGACUGGGACUGAGGACUGCAGUGCGACCCGCAAGGGAUUGCGUUAUCUGGACCGUUGGGAUUUGUUGAGUUAGACAGCUUGCUGACUGGCCUGACAGGUUUUGACAUGCUCUGGCCGUAACGACUAACGCACUAAGGAUGUUGACAAAAUGGUUUUAAACGACC
This 411-nucleotide ribosomal RNA is filed under the name uncultured fungus. RNAcentral describes it as "eukaryotic LSU rRNA". Lineage: Eukaryota; Fungi. The record is from RNAcentral.